Molecule: ribosomal RNA, 497 nt
Filed under: uncultured bacterium
Lineage: Bacteria
Description: partial 16S ribosomal RNA
Rfam family: Bacterial small subunit ribosomal RNA
Source: RNAcentral
GAUGAACGCUGGCGGCGUGCCUAAUACAUGCAAGUCGAGCGAACGGACGAGAAGCUUGCUUCUCUGAUGUUAGCGGCGGACGGGGGAGUAACACGUGGAUAACCUACCUAUAAGACUGGGAUAACUUCGGGAAACCGGAGCUAAUACCGGAUGAUAUUGUGAACCGCAUGGUUCAAAAGUGAAAGACGGUCUUGCUGUCACUUAUAGAUGGAUCCGCGCUGCAUUAGCUAGUUGGUAAGGUAACGGCUUACCAAGGCAACGAUGCAUAGCCGACCUGAGAGGGUGAUCGGCCACACUGGAACUGAGACACGGUCCAGACUCCUACGGGAGGCAGCAGUAGGGAAUCUUCCGCAAUGGGCGAAAGCCUGACGGAGCAACGCCGCGUGAGUGAUGAAGGUCUUCGGAUCGUAAAACUCUGUUAUUAGGGAAGAACAUAUGUGUAAGUAACUGUGCACAUCUUGACGGUACCUAAUCAGAAAGCCACGGCUAACUACGUG